ACGAACGCUGGCGGCGUGCUUAGCACAUGCAAGUCGAACGGAAAGGCCCUGCUUUUGUGGGGUGCUCGAGUGGCGAACGGGUGAGUAACACGUGAGUAACCUGCCCUUGACUUUGGGAUAACUUCAGGAAACUGGGGCUAAUACCGGAUAGGAGCUCCUGCUGCAUGGUGGGGGUUGGAAAGUUUCGGCGGUCGGGGAUGGACUCGCGGCUUAUCAGCUUGUUGGUGGGGUAGUGGCUUACCAAGGCUUUGACGGGUAGCCGGCCUGAGAGGGUGACCGGCCACAUUGGGACUGAGAUACGGCCCAGACUCCUACGGGAGGCAGCAGUGGGGAAUACUGCACAAUGGGCGGAAGCCUGAUGCAGCAACGCCGCGUGCGGGAUGACGGCCUUCGGGUUGUAAACCGCUUUCGCCUGUGACGAAGCGUGAGUGACGGUAAUGGGUAAAGAAGCACCGGCUAACUACGUG
Molecule: ribosomal RNA, 467 nt
Filed under: uncultured bacterium
Lineage: Bacteria
Description: partial 16S ribosomal RNA
Rfam family: Bacterial small subunit ribosomal RNA
Source: RNAcentral